UCCAGAAUUGUCUCCAGAUGAACUAUGGAGUCGAUUUCUGCUGGGAUGAUACUGAGUGUUCCGCCACUCGCUCAUUUGUCUGUGCCAAGCCAGAUCCCUGCUGUCCAGAAUCACCCUGUCCCGUGGAGGUCCCAUCUGAUCAGUAGCUCCUGAGCUGACACACACAGAGACACCAACCAAACACACAAACACCUGCUGGAUGUGACCGUGUGAAUGUCUUUGUGUGUCAUAUAUCAGUCUCAUGUGUAAUCACAUCUUUUAUAAUUUGGCUGUAACGCUGCUGACGGGAUGAAGCGACAAGUGACGUAACAGGAGCUGGACUUCCUCUUUGACCUUUAAUGAGAGGAGGCUGAAUGUGUUAUGAAAAGACGGCUUUUUAGCACAAACUAAUCUUUGAUACCCAAUUAAAACUCUUGAGCAUUUGAA
This is a long non-coding RNA of Sebastes umbrosus (honeycomb rockfish), 426 nucleotides long. RefSeq lists it as uncharacterized. Lineage: Eukaryota; Metazoa; Chordata; Actinopteri; Perciformes; Sebastidae. The transcript is spliced from 2 exons. The record is from RefSeq and is a predicted model, not a curated record.